CGGCCUGUUAAGUCAGAUGUGAAAGACCCGGGGCGUUAACCUCGGAAUUGCAUUUGUAAACUAGGCAGGCUAGAGUCUUGUAGAGGGGGGUAGGGAAGUUUACUAGGUGUAGCGGUGAAAUAGCGUAGAGAUCUGAAGGAAUACCAGUGGCGAAGGCGGCCCCCCUCGGACAAAGACUGACGCUCAGAUGCGAAAGCGUGGGGAGCAAACAGGAUUAGAUACCCCUGGUAG
This 231-nucleotide ribosomal RNA is filed under the name uncultured bacterium. RNAcentral describes it as "partial 16S ribosomal RNA". It matches the Rfam family "Bacterial small subunit ribosomal RNA", at positions 576 to 793 of the family's 1533-position model. The record is from RNAcentral.